Molecule: ribosomal RNA, 510 nt
Filed under: uncultured bacterium
Lineage: Bacteria
Description: partial 16S ribosomal RNA
Rfam family: Bacterial small subunit ribosomal RNA
Source: RNAcentral
GACGAACGCUGGCGGCGUGCUUAACACAUGCAAGUCGAACGAAGAGCGAUGGACGCUUGCUUCUAUCAAUCUUAGUGGCGCACGGGUGAGUAACGCGUAAUCAACCUGCCCUUCAGAGGGGGACAACAGUUGGAAACGACUGCUAAUACCGCAUACGAUCUAAUCUCGGCAUCGAGGAUAGAUGAAAGGUGGCCUCUACAUGUAAGCUAUCACCGAAGGAGGGGAUUGCGUCUGAUUAGCUAGUUGGAGGGGUAACGGCCCACCAAGGCGAUGAUCAGUAGCCGGUCUGAGAGGAUGAACGGCCACAUUGGGACUGAGACACGGCCCAGACUCCUACGGGAGGCAGCAGUGGGGAAUCUUCCGCAAUGGACGAAAGUCUGACGGAGCAACGCCGCGUGAGUGAUGACGGCCUUCGGGUUGUAAAGCUCUGUUAAUCGGGACGAAAGGCCUUCUUGCGAAUAGUGAGAAGGAUUGACGGUACCGGAAUAGAAAGCCACGGCUAACUACGUG